CCCUUCUAAAACAUCUGUUACUUAAAACACAAAAAAUACUGCAAUUAUAUUAUAGAUCCUCAUUUAUCUAUCAAUUUGAAGGAUGAAAAAUUUAUAAAGUUUUAGGCUGCCAAUUAGUUCCUUAAUUAUGGUGAACAUGACAUAACAACAUAAUAAGUUUGACAAACAUAAUUCAAAAGGGCUAUCAGAUCACACUAUAUGCUAACAUGGCAAGCACCGCUAUAUUUACAACACACAAUUAAUUUAAUUACCAAGAUUUACAAAGAUUGCAGCAAAAAAGAUA
This 283-nucleotide long non-coding RNA is filed under the name Phoenix dactylifera (date palm). Its description in RNAcentral is "long non-coding RNA (PDAC_LNC001130)". The record is from RNAcentral. Lineage: Eukaryota; Viridiplantae; Streptophyta; Magnoliopsida; Arecales; Arecaceae.